AACGUAGGAGGCGAGCGUUAUCCGGAUUUACUGGGCGUAAAGCGCACGCAGGCGGCUCUGUAAGUUGGACGUGAAAGCUCCCGGCUUAACCGGGAGAGGCCGUUCGAUACUGCGGGGCUUGAGGUAGGGAGAGGAAUGCGGAAUUCCCGGUGUAGUGGUGGAAUGCGUAGAUAUCGGGAGGAACACCUGUGGCGAAAGCGGCAUUCUGGCCCUCACCUGACGCUGAGGUGCGAAAGCGUGGGUAGCAAACAGGAUUAGAAACCCUAGUAGUCC
This 273-nucleotide ribosomal RNA is filed under the name uncultured prokaryote. RNAcentral's name for it is "partial 16S ribosomal RNA". It matches the Rfam family "Bacterial small subunit ribosomal RNA", at positions 524 to 796 of the family's 1533-position model. The record is from RNAcentral.